This 72-nucleotide transfer RNA is filed under the name Camelus bactrianus (Bactrian camel). It matches the Rfam family "tRNA". Rfam says of the family: Transfer RNA (tRNA) molecules are approximately 80 nucleotides in length. Their secondary structure includes four short double-helical elements and three loops (D, anti-codon, and T loops). The record is from Rfam by way of RNAcentral. RNAcentral also lists the same sequence under 2 other names. Lineage: Eukaryota; Metazoa; Chordata; Mammalia; Artiodactyla; Camelidae.
CCAGGUAUAGGUCAGUGAUAGAGUACAUGCUUAGUAUGCAUGAGAUCCUGGGUUCAACCCCCAGUACCUCCA